UUCUGGCUCAGGAUGAACGCUGGCGGCGUGCUUAACACAUGCAAGUCGAACGGGGAUGCUUAUGGAAGGAGUGCUUGCACUUUGGAAAUGAGUAUCUUAGUGGCGGACGGGUGAGUAACGCGUGGGUAACCUGCCCCAUACCGGGGGAUACCACCUGGAAACAGGUGCUAAUACCGCAUAAGCACACGGGAGCGCAUGCUCUGUGUGAAAAACUCCGGUGGUAUGGGAUGGACCCGCGUCUGAUUAGCCAGUUGGCAGGGUAACGGCCUACCAAAGCGACGAUCAGUAGCCGGCCUGAGAGGGUGGACGGCCACAUUGGGACUGAGACACGGCCCAAACUCCUACGGGAGGCAGCAGUGGGGAAUAUUGCACAAUGGGGGAAACCCUGAUGCAGCGACGCCGCGUGAGUGAAGAAGUAUUUCGGUAUGUAAAGCUCUAUCAGCAGGAACGAGACAAGACGGUACCUGACUAAGAAGCCCCGGCUAACUACGUGCCAGCAGCCGCGGUAAUACGUAGGGGGCAAGCGUUAUCCGGAAUCACUGGGUGUAAAGGGAGCGUAGACGGCUGUGCAAGCCUGAAGUGAAAGGCGGGGGCCCAACCCCUGGACUGCUUUGGGAACUGUACGGCUGGAGUGCAGGAGAGGUAAGUGGAAUUCCUAGUGUAGCGGUGAAAUGCGUAGAUAUUAGGAGGAACACCAGUGGCGAAGGCGGCUUACUGGACUGUAACUGACGUUGAGGCUCGAAAGCGUGGGGAGCAAACAGGAUUAGAUACCCUGGUAGUCCACGCCGUAAACGAUGAUUACUAGGUGUCGGGGGGCAGAGGCCCUUCGGUGCCGCAGCAAACGCAUAAAGUAUCCCACCUGGGGAGUACGUCCGCAAGGAUGAAACUCAAAGGAAUUGACGGGGACCCGCACAAGCGGUGGAGCAUGUGGUNUAAUUCGAAGCAACGCGAAGAACCUUACCCGGCCUUGACAUCCCCCUGACAGUGUAUGUAAUGUACAUUCCCUUCGGGGCAGGGGAGACAGGUGGUGCAUGGUUGUCGUCAGCUCGUGUCGUGAGAUGUUGGGUUAAGUCCCGCAACGAGCGCAACCCUUACCCACAGUAGCCAGCACAAAAGGUGGGCACUCUGUGGGGACUGCCGGGGACAACCCGGAGGAAGGUGGGGAUGACGUCAAAUCAUCAUGCCCCUUAUGGCCGGGGCUACACACGUGCUACAAUGGCGUAAACAAAGGGAAGCGAGAGAGUGAUCUUAAGCGAAACUCAAAAAUAACGUCCCAGUUCGGAUUGCAGUCUGCAACUCGACUGCAUGAAGCUGGAAUCGCUAGUAAUCGCGGAUCAGAAUGCCGCGGUGAAUACGUUCCCGGGUCUUGUACACACCGCCCGUCACACCAUGGGAGCCGGGAAUGCCCGAAGUCGGUGACCUAACCUGAAAAGGGAGGAGCCGCCGAAGGCAGGUCUGGUAACUGGGGUGAAGUCGUAACAAGGU
Molecule: ribosomal RNA, 1485 nt
Filed under: uncultured bacterium
Lineage: Bacteria
Description: bacterial SSU rRNA
Rfam family: Bacterial small subunit ribosomal RNA
Source: RNAcentral